GGGUUGUGAGGUUAAGCGACUAAGCGUACACGGUGGAUGCCCUGGCAGUCAGAGGCGAUGAAGGGCGUGCUAAUCUGCGAUAAGCGCCGGUAAGGUGAUAUGAACCGUUAUAACCGGCGAUACCCGAAUGGGGAAACCCAGUGUGACUCGUCACACUAUCAUUAACUGAAUCCAUAGGUUAAUGAGGCGAACCGGGGGAACUGAAACAUCUAAGUACCCCGAGGAAAAGAAAUCAACCGAGAUUCCCCCAGUAGCGGCGAGCGAACGGGGAGGAGCCCAGAGCCUGAAUCAGCAUGUGUGUUAGUGGAAGCGUCUGGAAAGGCGCGCGAUACAGGGUGACAGCCCCGUACACAAAAGCGCAUGUGCUGUGAGCUCGAUGAGUAGGGCGGGACACGUGGUAUCCUGUCUGAAUAUGGGGGGACCAUCCUCCAAGGCUAAAUACUCCUGACUGACCGAUAGUGAACCAGUACCGUGAGGGAAAGGCGAAAAGAACCCCGGCGAGGGGAGUGAAAAAGAACCUGAAACCGUGUACGUACAAGCAGUGGGAGCACAGGUUUACCUGUGUGACUGCGUACCUUUUGUAUAAUGGGUCAGCGACUUAUAUUCUGUAGCAAGGUUAACCGAAUAGGGGAGCCGGAGGGAAACCGAGUCUUAAUUGGGCGUUAAGUUGCAGGGUAUAGACCCGAAACCCGGUGAUCUAGCCAUGGGCAGGUUGAAGGUUGGGUAACACUAACUGGAGGACCGAACCGACUAAUGUUGAAAAAUUAGCGGAUGACCUGUGGCUGGGGGUGAAAGGCCAAUCAAACCGGGAGAUAGCUGGUUCUCCCCGAAAGCUAUUUAGGUAGCGCCUCGUGAAUUCAUCUCCGGGGGUAGAGCACUGUUUCGGCUAGGGGGCCAUCCCGGCUUACCAACCCGAUGCAAACUGCGAAUACCGGAGAAUGUUAUCACGGGAGACACACGGCGGGUGCUAACGUCCGUCGUGAAGAGGGAAACAACCCAGACCGCCAGCUAAGGUCCCAAAGUCAUGGUUAAGUGGGAAACGAUGUGGGAAGGCCCAGACAGCCAGGAUGUUGGCUUAGAAGCAGCCAUCAUUUAAAGAAAGCGUAAUAGCUCACUGGUCGAGUCGGCCUGCGCGGAAGAUGUAACGGGGCUAAACCAUGCACCGAAGCUGCGGCAGCGACGCUUAUGCGUUGUUGGGUAGGGGAGCGUUCUGUAAGCCUGCGAAGGUGGCCUGUGAGGGUUGCUGGAGGUAUCAGAAGUGCGAAUGCUGACAUAAGUAACGAUAAAGCGGGUGAAAAGCCCGCUCGCCGGAAGACCAAGGGUUCCUGUCCAACGUUAAUCGGGGCAGGGUGAGUCGACCCCUAAGGCGAGGCCGAAAGGCGUAGUCGAUGGGAAACGGGUUAAUAUUCCCGUACUUGGUGUUACUGCGAAGGGGGGACGGAGAAGGCUAUGUUGGCCGGGCGACGGUUGUCCCGGUUUAAGCGUGUAGGUGUGUGUUCCAGGUAAAUCCGGUUCACUUUAACACUGAGGCGUGAUGACGAGGCACUACGGUGCUGAAGCAACAAAUGCCCUGCUUCCAGGAAAAGCCUCUAAGCAUCAGGUAACAUCAAAUCGUACCCCAAACCGACACAGGUGGUCAGGUAGAGAAUACCAAGGCGCUUGAGAGAACUCGGGUGAAGGAACUAGGCAAAAUGGUGCCGUAACUUCGGGAGAAGGCACGCUGACACGUAGGUGAAGUGAUUUACUCAUGGAGCUGAAGUCAGUCGAAGAUACCAGCUGGCUGCAACUGUUUAUUAAAAACACAGCACUGUGCAAACACGAAAGUGGACGUAUACGGUGUGACGCCUGCCCGGUGCCGGAAGGUUAAUUGAUGGGGUCAGCGCAAGCGAAGCUCCUGAUCGAAGCCCCGGUAAACGGCGGCCGUAACUAUAACGGUCCUAAGGUAGCGAAAUUCCUUGUCGGGUAAGUUCCGACCUGCACGAAUGGCGUAAUGAUGGCCAGGCUGUCUCCACCCGAGACUCAGUGAAAUUGAACUCGCUGUGAAGAUGCAGUGUACCCGCGGCAAGACGGAAAGACCCCGUGAACCUUUACUAUAGCUUGACACUGAACAUUGAGCCUUGAUGUGUAGGAUAGGUGGGAGGCUUUGAAGUGUGGACGCCAGUCUGCAUGGAGCCGACCUUGAAAUACCACCCUUUAAUGUUUGAUGUUCUAACGUGGACCCGUAAUCCGGGUUGCGGACAGUGUCUGGUGGGUAGUUUGACUGGGGCGGUCUCCUCCUAAAGAGUAACGGAGGAGCACGAAGGUUGGCUAAUCCUGGUCGGACAUCAGGAGGUUAGUGCAAUGGCAUAAGCCAGCUUGACUGCGAGCGUGACGGCGCGAGCAGGUGCGAAAGCAGGUCAUAGUGAUCCGGUGGUUCUGAAUGGAAGGGCCAUCGCUCAACGGAUAAAAGGUACUCCGGGGAUAACAGGCUGAUACCGCCCAAGAGUUCAUAUCGACGGCGGUGUUUGGCACCUCGAUGUCGGCUCAUCACAUCCUGGGGCUGAAGUAGGUCCCAAGGGUAUGGCUGUUCGCCAUUUAAAGUGGUACGCGAGCUGGGUUUAGAACGUCGUGAGACAGUUCGGUCCCUAUCUGCCGUGGGCGCUGGAGAACUGAGGGGGGCUGCUCCUAGUACGAGAGGACCGGAGUGGACGCAUCACUGGUGUUCGGGUUGUCAUGCCAAUGGCACUGCCCGGUAGCUAAAUGCGGAAGAGAUAAGUGCUGAAAGCAUCUAAGCACGAAACUUGCCCCGAGAUGAGUUCUCCCUGAGACUUAGAGUCUCCUGAAGGAACGUUGAAGACGACGACGUUGAUAGGCCGGGUGUGUAAGCGCAGCGAUGCGUUGAGCUAACCGGUACUAAUGAACCGUGAGGCUUAACCUUACAACGCCGAAG
RNAcentral lists this ribosomal RNA (2929 nucleotides) under Salmonella enterica subsp. enterica serovar Thompson. RNAcentral describes it as "bacterial LSU rRNA". It matches the Rfam family "Bacterial large subunit ribosomal RNA". The record is from RNAcentral. Lineage: Bacteria; Pseudomonadati; Pseudomonadota; Gammaproteobacteria; Enterobacterales; Enterobacteriaceae. RNAcentral also lists the same sequence under 1 other name.